This 675-nucleotide ribosomal RNA is filed under the name Bacillus pumilus. Its description in RNAcentral is "bacterial SSU rRNA". It matches the Rfam family "Bacterial small subunit ribosomal RNA", at positions 565 to 1240 of the family's 1533-position model. Lineage: Bacteria; Bacillati; Bacillota; Bacilli; Caryophanales; Bacillaceae. The record is from RNAcentral.
GGGCUCGCAGGCGGUUUCUUAAGUCUGAUGUGAAAGCCCCCGGCUCAACCGGGGAGGGUCAUUGGAAACUGGGAAACUUGAGUGCAGAAGAGGAGAGUGGAAUUCCACGUGUAGCGGUGAAAUGCGUAGAGAUGUGGAGGAACACCAGUGGCGAAGGCGACUCUCUGGUCUGUAACUGACGCUGAGGAGCGAAAGCGUGGGGAGCGAACAGGAUUAGAUACCCUGGUAGUCCACGCCGUAAACGAUGAGUGCUAAGUGUUAGGGGGUUUCCGCCCCUUAGUGCUGCAGCUAACGCAUUAAGCACUCCGCCUGGGGAGUACGGUCGCAAGACUGAAACUCAAAGGAAUUGACGGGGGCCCGCACAAGCGGUGGAGCAUGUGGUUUAAUUCGAAGCAACGCGAAGAACCUUACCAGGUCUUGACAUCCUCUGACAACCCUAGAGAUAGGGCUUUCCCUUCGGGGACAGAGUGACAGGUGGUGCAUGGUUGUCGUCAGCUCGUGUCGUGAGAUGUUGGGUUAAGUCCCGCAACGAGCGCAACCCUUGAUCUUAGUUGCCAGCAUUCAGUUGGGCACUCUGAGGUGACUGCCGGUGACAAACCGGAGGAAGGUGGGGAUGACGUCAAAUCAUCAUGCCCCUUAUGACCUGGGCUACACACGUGCUACAAUGGACAGAAC